RNAcentral lists this small RNA (62 nucleotides) under Arabidopsis thaliana (thale cress). Its description in RNAcentral is "ATSL180580". The record is from RNAcentral. Lineage: Eukaryota; Viridiplantae; Streptophyta; Magnoliopsida; Brassicales; Brassicaceae.
AGAGCGCUUCUCAUAUGCCGACGCAUUGUUCUGAGCCUUCUCUAUUAGCUUUGUCAUUUCAU